RNAcentral lists this long non-coding RNA (308 nucleotides) under Elaeis guineensis (African oil palm). RNAcentral describes it as "long non-coding RNA (EGUI_LNC049010)". The record is from RNAcentral. Lineage: Eukaryota; Viridiplantae; Streptophyta; Magnoliopsida; Arecales; Arecaceae.
CUGCUAUUCAGGUAAGGAUUUCACCUUAUUCAUGUAGAUUUGUAAAAAUUUUUUUGAUGCAACUCUGAUAAUCGGCAAAGAAACAGAUUUUCUUCCCUUCAUGACUGGCACAAAUUUUAAGGAUUGGCUUAGAAACCUCAGGAUAGUCUUGACACCUGAGAAAAUUGGGUAUAUACUCGACCAGGACACCCCAGCAUUACUAGCCCAUUCUACAACAAAGCAAAAAGCUGCUCUACAUAAGUAGACGGAUGAUGAUCUUAUGGUGAAGUGUUAUAUGCUGGCUUCUAUGUCAAAUGAGUUGCAGAGCC